Molecule: long non-coding RNA, 370 nt
Filed under: Pelobates cultripes (western spadefoot toad)
Lineage: Eukaryota; Metazoa; Chordata; Amphibia; Anura; Pelobatidae
Source: RNAcentral
CAGCACCAGCCAGUAGGGGUCACUGUGUGUGGAGAGAGGCAGGGAUAGGAAGUUACAGCAUAUCCCUCCCUACUCACUAACCUGCGGGGGAGCAGCUACACAGCACAGAGAGCUCAGACAGCAGUUCCCAGCCUGCAGAGACAGACUAUAGCUCAGGGAAGUGAGGGAUGAGGGGAAAGGCAGCAGGGAAACAUGGGGACACUGAGACACUAGGGGACACUGGGAGACCUGGGGAUGCUGAAACACAUGGGGAUGCUGUGAGACAUAGGGACAUUGGGAUACACAUUGGGACACGGAGAUGCUAGGGACAGAGUGUCUCCAUGUCUCCCAGUGUCCCCAUGUCUCCCAGCCAGUUUGCCUAGUGUCUCAG